UGCACGUCACUUUCUGUCAUGCUGCAGUCGAAUGUUGGGUUUAGAUUAUGAAUCUAAACGAGGACAUAUUGGACUUGAUUAUUUUGGUCGUACAGUUUACAUUAAAAUUCUUCCCGUAGGCAUACAUAUGGGUCGACUAGAGUCUGUAAUGAAUUUGUCUUCUACUUUUGAUAAAGCUAAAGAAGUUCAAGAACAGUUCAAGGGGAAGAAGGUAAUUCUGGGUGUGGAUGAUAUGGACAUCUUCAAAGGGAUUAGUCUGAAAUUGCUAGCAUUUGAGUACCUACUACAGCAGGACCAGAGCUUGCAGGGGAAACUUGUUCUUGUUCAAAUAGUAAAUCCUGCUCGUAGCUCGGGCAAAGAUGUUCAGGAAGCAAAGAGGGAGACAUAUUCAACUGCUGAAAGGAUCAACCAAAUUUAUGGUAGAUCUAAUUAUGAGCCCGUAAUUUUGAUUGAUCGUCCGGUCCCUCGCUAUGAGAAGACUGCAUACUAUGCUGUUGCUGAAUGUUGCCUAGUGAAUGCUGUAAGGGAUGGGAUGAAUUUAGUGCCUUACAAGUAUAUCGUUUGCAGGCAAGGUUCUCCUGGUAUGGAUGAUGCUAUGGGUAUUAAAACUGAUUCUCCUAGAACUAGCAUGCUUGUCGUGUCAGAAUUUAUUGGUUGUUCCCCAUCUCUGAGUGGAGCAAUUAGGGUAAAUCCAUGGGAUAUUGAAGCUGUCGCUGAGGCUUUAAAUGUGGCCAUUACAAUGUCCGAUUCCGAGAAACAACUUCGUCAUGAGAAGCACUACCGCUAUGUAAGCUCUCAUGAUGUAGCUUACUGGGCUCGUAGCUUUAUGCAGGAUUUGGAAAGAGCUUGCAAAGAUCAUUACAGUAAGCGUUGCUGGGGCAUUGGCUUGGGCUUGGGCUUCAGAGUUAUUGCUCUUUCUCCGAAUUUUAGAAAGCUGUCUAUUGAUCACAUCGUCUCCUCAUAUAGGAGAACACAGAGAAGGGCAAUAUUCUUGGACUAUGAUGGCACUGUUGUACCUCAGUCAUCAUUGGUUAAAGCUCCAGGUGCUGAAGUUAUUACGCUGUUGAAUUCUUUAAGCAAUGAUCCUAAAAACACCGUGUAUAUUGUUAGUGGCAGAGGAAGAAAGUCAUUAAGCGAAUGGCUUGCACCGUGUGCAAGGCUCGGAAUAGCUGCUGAACAUGGGUAUUUCAUAAGGUAAUGGAUAUUUUAUGUGAACAUACACGGUCCUUUGUCCCAGUUGCCCUAUAAUUUCUCAUUAGGAAUUUUUCUUCUGAAGUUUUCCUUGGACACCUUCAUGUUAACCGGUUUCUAUAAUGUUGCAGGAGUAGUAAAAUGUCGGAUUGGGAAUGUUUGGCUUCUGACCUUGAGUGGAAACCAAUUGUGGAACCUGUGAUGAAACUUUACACAGAAACAACUGAUGGAUCAUAUAUUGAACCUAAAGAGAGUGCUUUGGUGUGGCACCAUCAGGAUGCAGACCCA
RNAcentral lists this long non-coding RNA (1479 nucleotides) under Solanum melongena (eggplant). RNAcentral describes it as "long non-coding RNA (SMEL_LNC000104)". Lineage: Eukaryota; Viridiplantae; Streptophyta; Magnoliopsida; Solanales; Solanaceae. The record is from RNAcentral.